RNAcentral lists this ribosomal RNA (353 nucleotides) under uncultured bacterium. RNAcentral's name for it is "bacterial SSU rRNA". It matches the Rfam family "Bacterial small subunit ribosomal RNA", at positions 917 to 1271 of the family's 1533-position model. The record is from RNAcentral.
GGGCCCGCACAGCGGUGGAGCAUGUGGUUUAAUUCGACGCAACGCGAAGAACCUUACCUGGUCUUGACAUCCUGCGAACUUUCUAGAGAUAGAUUGGUGCCUUCGGGAACGCAGUGACAGGUGCUGCAUGGCUGUCGUCAGCUCGUGUCGUGAGAUGUUGGGUUAAGUCCCGUAACGAGCGCAACCCUUGUCCUUAUUUGCCAUCAUUUAGUUGGGCACUCUAGGGAGACUGCCGGUGACAAACCGGAGGAAGGUGGGGGACGACGUCAAGUCAUCAUGGCCCUUACGACCAGGGCUACACACGUGCUACAAUGGGGCGUACAACGGGCAGCGACACCGCGAGGUGAAGCGAA